AACGCUAGCUACAGGCUUAACACAUGCAAGUCGAGGGGCAGCAUGGUCUUAGCUUGCUAAGGCCGAUGGCGACCGGCGCACGGGUGAGUAACACGUAUCCAACCUGCCGAUGACUCGGGGAUAGCCUUUCGAAAGAAAGAUUAAUACCCGAUGGCAUAGUUCUUCCGCAUGGUAGAACUAUUAAAGGAUUUCGGUCAUCGAUGGGGAUGCGUUCCAUUAGGUUGUUGGCGGGGUAACGGCCCACCAAGCCUUCGAUGGAUAGGGGUUCUGAGAGGAAGGUCCCCCACAUUGGAACUGAGACACGGUCCAAACUCCUACGGGAGGCAGCAGUGAGGAAUAUUGGUCAAUGGACGAGAGUCUGAACCAGCCAAGUAGCGUGAAGGAUGACUGCCCUAUGGGUUGUAAACUUCUUUUAUACGGGAAUAAAGUGAGGCACGUGUGCCUUUUUGUAUGUACCGUAUGAAUAAGGAUCGGCUAACUCCGUGCCAGCAGCCGCGGUAAUACGGAGGAUCCGAGCGUUAUCCGGAUUUAUUGGGUUUAAAGGGAGCGUAGGUGGACAGUUAAGUCAGUUGUGAAAGUUUGCGGCUCAACCGUAAAAUUGCAGUUGAUACUGGCUGUCUUGAGUACAGUAGAGGUGGGCGGAAUUCGUGGUGUAGCGGUGAAAUGCUUAGAUAUCACGAAGAACUCCGAUUG
Molecule: ribosomal RNA, 693 nt
Filed under: uncultured bacterium
Lineage: Bacteria
Description: bacterial SSU rRNA
Rfam family: Bacterial small subunit ribosomal RNA
Source: RNAcentral